UCCGGGAUGGAAGAUGGCGAGAAAAGCUGUGUGUAUUUCUGCGGUGCCCGUACCGCAAACCGACACAGGUAGGUAGGAAGAAGAUUCUAAGGCCAACGGGAGAAGGGUUGUUAAGGAACUCGGCAAAUUGACCCCGUAACUUCGGGAGAAGGGGUGCUCCAGAGAUGGAGCCGCAGAGAAUCGGCCUAAGCAACUGUUUACCAAAAACACAGGUUUGUGCUAAAUCGAAAGAUGACGUAUACGAGCUGACGCCUGCCCGGUGCUGGAAGGUUAAGAGGAGAUGUGCAAGCAUUGAAUCGAAGCCCCAGUGAACGGCGGCCGUAACUAUAACGGUCCUAAGGUAGCGAAAUUCCUUGUCAGGUAAGUUCUGACCCGCAUGGAAGGCGUAGUGAUUUGGGCACUGUCUCGACAGCCCGCCCGGCGAAAUUGUAGUACCGGUGAAGAUGCCGGUUACCCGCGACAAGGCGGAAAGACCCCAUGGAGCUUUACUGUAGCCUAAUAUUGGGUUUCGAUGUUGCAUGCACAGGAUAGAUGGGACACAGGGAAACAAGUGCUUUGGCAUUUGUGGAGUGGCCGUUGGGAUACCAUCCUUGCGAUAUUGGAAUUCUAACCUGCGCCUUUGAAUCAAGGCGGGGGACAUUGUUAGGUGGGCAGUUUGACUGGGGCGGUCGCCUCCUAAAGAGUAACGGAGGCGUUCAAAGGUUCGCUCAGCUUGAACGGAAAUCAAGCAAAAGAGUGCAAACGCAGAAGCGAGCCUAACUGCGAGACUGACGGGUCGAGCAGUAACGAAAGUUGGAGUUAGUGAUCCGGUGGUAUGUGAGUGGAAAUGCCAUCGCUCAACGGAUAAAAGUUACCCUGGGGAUAACAGGCUGAUCUCCCCCAAGAGUCCACAUCGACGGGGAGGUUUGGCACCUCGAUGUCGGCUCAUCGCAUCCUGGGGCUGUAUUCGGUCCCAAGGGUUUGGCUGUUCGCCAAUUAAAGCGGUACGCGAGCUGGGUUCAGAACGUCGUGAGACAGUUCGGUCCCUAUCUGUCGUGGGCGCAGGAUAUUUGAUGGGAGCUGUUCCUAGUACGAGAGGACCGGAGCGGACGUACCUCUGGCGCACCAGUUGUUCUGCCAAGGGCAUAGCUGGGCAACUAUGUACGGAUCGGAUAAACGCUGAAAGCAUCUAAGCGUGAAGCCGACCCAAAGAUAAGAUAUCCCAUUGUUUCAAACAAGUAAGACCCCUUGAAGACUACAAGGUUGAUAGGCAUGAUGUGUAAGUGGAGUGAUCCAUUCAGCAAGCAUGUACUAAUAGGUCGAGGGCUUGACCU
This 1313-nucleotide ribosomal RNA is filed under the name metagenome. Its description in RNAcentral is "bacterial LSU rRNA". It matches the Rfam family "Bacterial large subunit ribosomal RNA", at positions 1592 to 2925 of the family's 2925-position model. The record is from RNAcentral.